AUGUACAUGAUAACUGGGCGAUACAGUGUAUCUUCAGAAGAUCCAUUCCAAGCACAUGCUGGCGGUGGAGCUCAGCAUACAUCUGAAGUCGAUGACCAACAUGAUAUAGAUCUUGAACCUUUUGUUGACAAUCGAUUUUCAGAAAGCUUGAAUGAUUUGAACUGGGACAAUGAAAUGCAGACAGAAGCAGGAGGAAACAAAAACGGCUCUAUGGUGUCAAAUGAGAUUGCUUCUGACAAUGAUUCUGAUUCCGAGGAUGAUCUUUCUUUGUCGUUGUUGCAAAACGCCUCUGAAAUUGCUGUUACAACUGCUGGAGAACAAGAGAACAGUGGUACAACUGGUGAAGUUCAAAAAUUAACACAGGAAGACAUACUGAUAUUCCUUGAAAAUGACAGUAUAGAAGCUGCUCAAAGUGCUAGCCAAGAAGUGCGCAGCCAUCACGUACCCCAUGUGGACAUGGUCUUUGAUACGGAUGAUGCAGCUUACAACUUUUACAAUGAGUAUGCCUCAAUUGCUGGUUUUUCUGUGAUUAAAGCAUCUCGCUAUUGUGGCAAGAAACAAGGAGGCAGUGCAGCAACUCGGGUAACUUUCAAGUGCAAUCGGUCAGGAAGAGUAAUUGAUGAAGAAGAACAAGAGAAUAGGAAGAAGAAACGACGUGACACAAGGCAACAGAAGACAGGACAAGAGCCCUAUCGCAACGCAAGGAAGAAAAAAGUAAACACCAUUGCAAUAACAUGA
RNAcentral lists this ribosomal RNA (738 nucleotides) under Triticum aestivum (bread wheat). Its description in RNAcentral is "partial small subunit ribosomal RNA". The record is from RNAcentral. Lineage: Eukaryota; Viridiplantae; Streptophyta; Magnoliopsida; Poales; Poaceae.